Molecule: ribosomal RNA, 450 nt
Filed under: uncultured bacterium
Lineage: Bacteria
Description: partial 16S ribosomal RNA
Rfam family: Bacterial small subunit ribosomal RNA
Source: RNAcentral
GUGGGGAAUUUUGGACAAUGGGGGCAACCCUGAUCCAGCCAUCCCGCGUGUGCGAUGAAGGCCUUCGGGUUGUAAAGCACUUUUGGCAGGGAAGAAAAGUUUCGGGCUAAUACCCUGGAGCGAUGACGGUACCUGCAGAAUAAGCACCGGCUAACUACGUGCCAGCAGCCGCGGUAAUACGUAGGGUGCAAGCGUUAAUCGGAAUUACUGGGCGUAAAGCGUGCGCAGGCGGUUCGGAAAGAAAGAUGUGAAAUCCCAGGGCUUAACCUUGGAACUGCAUUUUUAACUGUCGAACUCGAGUAUGUCAGAGGGGGGUAGAAUGCCACGUGUAGCAGUGAAAUGCGUAGAGAUGUGGAGGAAUACCGAUGGCGAAGGCAGCCCCCUGGGAUAAUACUGACGCUCAUGCACGAAAGCGUGGGGAGCAAACAGGAUUAGAUACCCGGGUAGUCC